RNAcentral lists this transfer RNA (73 nucleotides) under Staphylococcus aureus. RNAcentral describes it as "tRNA-Phe-GAA". The record is from RNAcentral. Lineage: Bacteria; Bacillati; Bacillota; Bacilli; Caryophanales; Staphylococcaceae.
UUCCCGGAACGAGGUAUAGGUGCAAAUCCUAUCUUCCGCUCCAUAAUUUAAUAAUAAUGCGGGAGUAUUUCAA